GGUCAAGCGAGAAAGGGCGCGUGGUGGAUGCCUAGGUGCUGAGGGCCGAAGAAGGGCGUGGCAAGGCUGCGAAAAGCCUCGGUAAGCUGUCCAGCAAGCGUAGCCGGGGAUACCCGAAUGGGGCAACCCGUCCUUCCUUAUAGAAGGACACCCUUGUCCGAACACAUAGGGCAAGAGGGGGUAAGCAGGGGAACUGAAACAUCUCAGUACCCUGAGGAAAAGAGAGGAUUCCCCUAGUAGUGGCGAACGAAAGGGGAAGAGCCCAAACCGUAGUGGCUGAGUGGUCUGCCGGCCUAAGCCGCUACGGGGUUGUCAGGGGAUACCCCAAGAAAUCUUUUAUUUCUUGGGGGCCCCAAGGUACAUCUAGAGGGGCGGCGGCACCCUCGAAGGAGUAAGAAACCUUCCUUCUAGCUGAAGGAACCUGGAAAGGGCCACCGUAGAAGGUGAGAGUCCUGUAGGCGAAAGGGGGGAGGCUCCUGGUGUAGCCUUAAGUACCACGGGACACGAGGAAUCCUGUGGGAAGCAGGGGGGACCACCCUCCAAGGCUAAAUACUCUCAGCGACCGAUAGUGAACGAGUACCGUGAGGGAAAGGUGAAAAGGACCCCGGGAGGGGAGUGAAAUAGAACCUGAAACCGCGUGCCUACAAGCGGUCAGAGCCCUUCACUCUGUGAAGGGUGAUGGCGUGCCUAUUGAAGAAUGAGCCGGCGAGUUAAUCUGCGUGGCGGAGAGGUUAAGCGUAUCUUACGUGGAGCCGAAGCGAAAGCGAGUCUGAAGAGGGCGCCGGGGCAUCCCAAGAGAUCUUUGAUUUCUUGGGGCCCUAAGUCGUGCAGAUUAGACCCGAAACCGGGUGAGCUACCCAUGGUCAGGGUGAAGCGGAGGUAAAGCUUCGUGGAAGCUCGAACCUGUUAGCGUUGCAAAGCUAUAGGAUGAACUGUGGGUAGGGGUGAAAUGCCAAGCGAACCCGGAGAUAGCUGGUUCUCCCCGAAAUGCAUUUAGGUGCAGCCUCAGGUGGUGAACUAUGGAGGUAGGGCACUGGAUGGGCUAGGGGGCUAACCGCUUACCAAACACAACCAAACCACGAAUGCCAUAGUUGGGUUGCCCAUUGAAAUCUAGGAUUUCAAUGGGAGCCCGAGAACCUGGGAGUGAGACUGCGGGGGAUAAGCUUCGUAGUCGAGAGGGAAACAGCCCAGACCAUCAGCUAAGGCCCCCAAGUGUAGACUAAGUGGUAAAGGAAGUUGGGCUACCCAGACAAUCAGGAGGUUGGCUUAGAAGCAGCCAUCCUUUAAAGAGUGCGUAAUAGCUCACUGGUUAAGUGGUGCUGCGCCGAAAAUCCAACGGGGCUCAAGUCUGUCACCGAAGCUAUGGCUUUCCUUCUUUGGAAGGAGAGGGUAGGGGAGCGUUCUCUUAAGCUGUGAAGCUAC
This 1422-nucleotide ribosomal RNA is filed under the name Chloroflexota bacterium. RNAcentral describes it as "partial 23S ribosomal RNA". It matches the Rfam family "Bacterial large subunit ribosomal RNA", at positions 1 to 1259 of the family's 2925-position model. The record is from RNAcentral. Lineage: Bacteria; Bacillati; Chloroflexota.